ACUCAAAUGAAUAGACGGGUCCCCGCACAAGCAGCGGAGCGUGUGGUUUAAUUCGUUGCUACGCGAAAAACCUUACCUGGGUUUGACAUAGCAGUGGUAGGGAAGAGAAAUCGGACCGACCCUUCGGGGAGCUGUUACAGGUGUUGCAUGGCUGUCGUCAGCUCGUGUCGUGAGAUGUUCGGUUAAGUCCGCUAACGAGCGCAACCCGCGUUGUGUGUUAUAUGUGUCACACAAUACCGCCGGUAUUAAGUCGGAGGAAGGUGCGGAUGACGUCAAGUCAGCAUGACCUUUAUAUCCAGGGCUACACACACGCUACAAUGGCCAGCACAACAGGUUGCCAAGCCGCGAGGCGGAGCCAAUCCUCCAAAGCUGGUCUCAGUUCAGAUUGUAGGCUGCAACUCGCCUGCAUGAAGUUGGAGUUGCUAGUAACCGCAGGUCAGAACUACUGCGGUGAAUACGUUCCCGGGGAUUGCACACACCGCCCGU
This 486-nucleotide ribosomal RNA is filed under the name uncultured bacterium. RNAcentral describes it as "bacterial SSU rRNA". It matches the Rfam family "Bacterial small subunit ribosomal RNA", at positions 899 to 1397 of the family's 1533-position model. The record is from RNAcentral.